AUCUGCGUCCCUAAAUAUAUUUUUCACAGUUCUGAUUGAUUUUAAUGCACAUAUUUCAUGUUAGUGUUCAGCCCAAAUAGAGAAACAAGGAAACUAUUGCAUUUCUUCAUUCCCUCUGUUCUAGAACGGUUCUAUGAUUUCAGAAUGGAUUGUGCAUCCUGUAUUCCAAAGGUUAUUCCAGACUAUAGUGUAAGCAGACCAGAUGAGGCAUCAUCCUGUAUUCUAGGUUAUUCCAGACUGUAGUGUGAGCAGACCAGAUGAGGCAUCAUCCUGUAUUCUAGGUUAUUCCAGACUGUAGUGUGAGCAGACCAGUUGAGGCAUCAUCCUGUAUUCUAGGUUAUUCCAGACUAGUGUGAGCAGACCAGAUGAGGCAUCAUCCUGUAUUCUAGGUUAUUCCAGACUAGUGUGAGCAGACCAGUUGAGGCAUCAUCCUGUAUUCUAGGUUAUUCCAGACUAGUGUGAGCAGACCAGUUGAGGCAUCAUCCUGUAUUCUAGGUUAUUCCAGACUGUAGUGUGAGCAGACCAGUUGAGGCAUCAUCCUGUAUUCUAGGUUAUUCCAGACUGUAGUGUGAGCAGACCAGUUGAGGCAUCAUCCUGUAUUCUAGGUUAUUCCAGACUGUAGUGUGAGCAGACCAGUUGAGGCAUCAUCCUGUAUUCUAGGUUAUUCCAGACUAGUGUGAGCAGACCAGAUGAGGCAUCAUCCUGUAUUCUAGGUUAUUCCAGACUAGUGUGAGCAGACCAGAUGAGGCAUCAUCCUGUAUUCUAGGAGGUUAUUCCAGACUAGUGUGAGCAGACCAGUUGAGGCAUCAUCCUGUAUUCUAGGAGGUUAUUCCAGACUAGUGUGAGCAGACCAGUUGAGGCAUCAUCCUGUAUUCUAGGAGGUUAUUCCAGACUAGUGUGAGCAGACCAGUUGAGGCAUCAUGCUCUAUUAUAGGUUAUUCCAGACUAGUGUGAGCAGACCAGAUGAGGCAUCACGCUCUAUUCUAUUCCAGUUGCCAAGUAUUGUUUCUGGUUACUUUUCCAUGAUCAUUGCCAACAGCUCUCUACUGCCAAACAUUUACAUUACCAUGUGCCUGAGGGGGGAGGGGGAGAGAGACUGUCAUACGGUUUCAUCAAAGAGGUGCGCAAGCGUGUCAAGAGAACACGGGUCUCAUUGCGCCUCCAGUGUGUAUGUGUAUGUGUAUGUGUGUGUGUGUGUGUGUGUGUGUCGAUGGUAUGUUUUGUUUUUGUGCAUGUCUUAGGGUGUAUCUCCAGAGAUUACACCUACAAACUUUGAUUGCCUUGCGUUGUAGACUACAGCAUUCCAGUACAGUCUGUGUGAGUGUGUUGCUUCUUAGCCAAGUCUUUCUGCAGUAUCUGAGCUUUUCAGCUUCUUGUGUUAUUAUUCCGCCUUCUGUUACAGUCCUCCAUAGUGUUAUAAUAUACGGCUGUCUCAAAUGACACCCUAUUUUUGUAUACGGGGGAAUAGUGACAUUUUAGAUGAGUCCUGUGUUUUAAAUGACACCCUAUUCCAUAAAGUGCACUACCUAUGGAAUGACAUUUGGGAUGCAGAUAGUGUCAUAACCAGGACCUUGCCCAUAGCCUCCUGCUUUACAGAAGCAGUGUGAUGUACUGUCAAAUUGUGUCAAGGUAAGCAUGUUCUGGCCUAUUUGUGAUACCAUGCCUUCAGAGUACAGCAGAGUGGUGGUGUCGUGUCAAAAAGUGGUGCCCGUUGGCAAAAUGUUACCCUGUGCCAGGCCCAAAAACAUUUCUAACCUGUUCUGUACUGUGAUACUGGUCUGAGUCUGAUGGUACCCCAACACACACGCUUGACUGUUGCCAUAACAACCCUUGACAUGGGUGUGGCAAAGUGCACCUGUAUUCACAAAGCGUCUCAGAGUAAGUGCCUCACUAAUAACAGAAGCCUUUGAAACCAUAAUGAAUACGAGCGGGGACCUGAUCCUAGAACACCACUCCUACUGAGACACUAUGUGAAUACAGGCCCAGCAUACGAGAAAGGGGAAGGUAGCAUUGUUUUUGAUUGUGGCUGUACAGAAUGCGAGUCUGUGCCAGGUUUUCCGUACUUGGAAGCCUUGGCCCCAGCGCAUUUUGGCGAGGGGACAGAGACCAGAGUUCACCAGUUCGGGAUCUGUCAAACACUUAUAAACCUGUCCUCUCCCUGCAGAGAUGCAGGUCACUAUGGUUACAGAUUAAAAGGGAGCCUGACAGUAUUACACAGCGAGGAUGUGAGGAGUACAGUACAAGCGUGUGUGAGGGGGACUAUUCCGAUAUAUUGUGUACAGUGAAUGUAUUGUAAUGUGUGUCAAGUGCGUUUAAAUUAUAUUUUCAUAUGUUAAGUGGAGAACAAUGUUUCGUAUUUGUACGGAGGCAACAGAGGGUGUGAGGAAGGAGACCUGUGUACUAUAUCAAACUGUUUUUACAUAAGCUGCUGCUUCAUAAAUGUGAACACUAUUACAUUAAAAAUAAAGAGAACAUUAGCCAGAA
Oncorhynchus tshawytscha (Chinook salmon) is the source of this 2484-nucleotide long non-coding RNA. RefSeq lists it as uncharacterized. The transcript is spliced from 2 exons. NCBI's taxonomy places the organism in Eukaryota, Metazoa, Chordata, Actinopteri, Salmoniformes, Salmonidae. The record is from RefSeq and is a predicted model, not a curated record.